Molecule: long non-coding RNA, 1203 nt
Organism: Oncorhynchus tshawytscha (Chinook salmon)
Lineage: Eukaryota; Metazoa; Chordata; Actinopteri; Salmoniformes; Salmonidae
Source: Ensembl
GUUACACAUUGUCUCUCAGUAACACGGUUACACAUUGUCUCUCAGUAACACAGUUACACAUUGUCUCUCAGUAACACGGUUACACAUUGUCUCUCAGUAACACAGUUACACAUUGUCUCUCAGUAACACGGUUACACAUUGUCUCUCAGUAACACAGUUACACAUUGUCUCUCAGUAACACAGGUACACAUUGUCUCUCAGUAACACGGUUACACAUUGUCUCUCAGUAACACGGUUACACAUUGUCUCUCAGUAACACGGUUACACAUUGUCUCUCAGUAACACAGUUACAGAGCAUCCGGAAAGUUUUCAGACCCCUUGACCUUUUCCACACUUCGUUACGUCACAGCCUUUUAUUAUGAAAUAGAUUAAAUCGUUAUUUUCAAUCAUUAAUCGACACACAAUACCCCAUAAUGACAUCACAAUACCCCAUAAUGACAUCACAAUACCCCAUAAUGACAUCACAAUACCCCAUAAUGACAAAGCAAAAAACUUUUUUUUAGAAAUGUUUGCAAAUGUAUUACAAAUAAAAAGCUAAUAUCACAUUUACAUCAGUAUUCAGAAGCUUUACUCAGUACUUUGUUGAAGCACGUUUGGCAGCGAUUACAGCCAUUAGUCUUCUUGUGUAUGACGCUACAAUCUUGGCACACUUGUAUUUGGGGAGUUUCUCCCAUUCUUCUCUGCAGAUCCUCUCAAGCUCUGUCAGGUUGGAUGGGGAGCAUCGCUGCACAGCUAUUUUCAGGUCUCUCCAGAGAUGUUAAAGUCCAGGCUCUGGCUGGGCCACUCAAUGACAUUCAAUGACAUUCAGAGACUUGUCACAAAGCCACUCCUGCAUUGUCUUGGCUGUGUGCUUAUGGGCAUUAUCCUGUUGGAAGAUGAACCUUCGCCCCAGUCUGAGGUCCAGAGCGCUCUGGAGCAGGUUUUCAUCAAGGAUCUCUCUGUACUUUGCUCCGUUCAUCUUUGCCUCGAUCCUGACUAGUCUCUCAGUACCUGCUGCAGAAAAACAUCCCCACAGCAUGAUGCUGCCACCACCAUGCUUCACCGUAGGGAUGGUGCCAGGUUUCCUCCAGACAUGAUGCUUGGAAUUCAGGCCAAAGAGUUCAAUCUUGGUUUCAUCAGACCAGAGAAUCUUGUUUCUCAUGGUCUGAGAGUCCUUAGGUGCCUUUUGGCAAAGUCCAAACGGGCUGUCAUGUGCCUUUUACU